GGGUCUGUAGUUUAGUGGUAAAAUUUCGGUCUCCAAAACCGAAGUCCCUGGUUCAAGUCCAGGCGGACCCGCAA
Molecule: transfer RNA, 74 nt
Filed under: Candidatus Campbellbacteria bacterium CG10_big_fil_rev_8_21_14_0_10_35_52
Lineage: Bacteria; Candidatus Campbelliibacteriota
Description: tRNA-Trp
Rfam family: tRNA
About the family: Transfer RNA (tRNA) molecules are approximately 80 nucleotides in length. Their secondary structure includes four short double-helical elements and three loops (D, anti-codon, and T loops).
Source: RNAcentral